This 253-nucleotide ribosomal RNA is filed under the name uncultured bacterium. RNAcentral's name for it is "partial 16S ribosomal RNA". It matches the Rfam family "Bacterial small subunit ribosomal RNA", at positions 524 to 776 of the family's 1533-position model. The record is from RNAcentral.
GACGAACCGUGCGAACGUUGUUCGGAAUCACUGGGCUUAAAGGGCGCGUAGGCGGGCUGUCAAGUCUGGGGUGAAAUGCCGCGGCUCAACGGUGGAACUGCUCGGUAUACUGCGGGUCUUGAGCUGUCUAGGGGCGACCGGAACAAGCGGUGGAGCGGUGAAAUGCGUAGAUAUCGCUUGGAACGCCAGUGGUGAAAACGGGUCGCUGGGGACAUGCUGACGCUGAGACACGAAAGCCAGGGGAGCGAACGGG